RNAcentral lists this ribosomal RNA (442 nucleotides) under uncultured bacterium. RNAcentral describes it as "partial 16S ribosomal RNA". It matches the Rfam family "Bacterial small subunit ribosomal RNA", at positions 338 to 795 of the family's 1533-position model. The record is from RNAcentral.
CCUACGGGUGGCAGCAGUGGGGAAUAUUGGGCAAUGGGCGCAAGCCUGACCCAGCAACGCCGCGUGAAGGAAGAAGGCUUUCGGGUUGUAAACUUCUUUUAAGAGGGAAGAGCAAGUGACGGUACCUGAGGAAUAAGCCACGGCUAACUACGUGCCAGCAGCCGCGGUAAUACGUAGGUGGCAAGCGUUAUCCGGAUUUACUGGGUGUAAAGGGCGUGUAGGCGGGGACGCAAGUCAGAUGUGAAAACCACGGGCUCAACCUGUGGCCUGCAUUUGAAACUGUGUUUCUUGAGUACUGGAGAGGCAGACGGAAUUCCUAGUGUAGCGGUGAAAUGCGUAGAUAUUAGGAGGAACACCAGUGGCGAAGGCGGUCUGCUGGACAGCAACUGACGCUGAGGCGCGAAAGCGUGGGGAGCAAACAGGAUUAGAUACCCCAGUAGUC